Molecule: ribosomal RNA, 200 nt
Filed under: uncultured bacterium
Lineage: Bacteria
Description: partial 16S ribosomal RNA
Rfam family: Bacterial small subunit ribosomal RNA
Source: RNAcentral
AGUGAGCGCUGGCGGCAGGCCUAACACAUGCAAGUCGAGCGGCAGCGCGGUGUAGCAGUACACUGGCGGCGAGCGGCGGACGGGUGAGGAAUGCGUCGGAAUCUGCCUCUUUGUGGGGGAUAACGUAGGGAAACUUACGCUAAUACCGCAUACGACCUACGGGUGAAAGUGGGGGACCUUCGGGCCUCACGCAGAGAGAU